GAUAAACGCUGGCGGCGUGCUUCAGGCAUGCAAGUCGAACGAGUGUCCACCUUCGGGUGGUCUACUAGUGGCGGACGGGUGAGUAACGCGUUAGCAACCUGCCCAAAAGUGGGGAAUAACUAACCGAAAGGUUAGCUAAUACCGCAUGUGAUAGCUGGUUCUUGGACCGGUUAUGAAAGGCUUCGGUCGCUUUUGGAGGGGCUUGCGUCAGAUUAGCUUGUUGGUGGGGUAAUGGCCUACCAAGGCGACGAUCUGUAGCUGGUCUGAGAGGACGAUCAGCCACACGGGGACUGAGAUACGGCCCCGACUCCUACGGGAGGCUG
RNAcentral lists this ribosomal RNA (323 nucleotides) under uncultured Chloroflexota bacterium. RNAcentral's name for it is "bacterial SSU rRNA". It matches the Rfam family "Bacterial small subunit ribosomal RNA", at positions 28 to 351 of the family's 1533-position model. The record is from RNAcentral. Lineage: Bacteria; Bacillati; Chloroflexota.